RNAcentral lists this non-coding RNA (233 nucleotides) under Anaerostipes rhamnosivorans. RNAcentral describes it as "Cis-regulator of HTH transcription factor". It matches the Rfam family "Cis-regulator of HTH transcription factor". From Rfam's summary of the family: This element was identified by RNA deep sequencing of Clostridioides difficile 630 where it is located immediately upstream of an uncharacterized HTH-type Transcriptional regulator. Lineage: Bacteria; Bacillati; Bacillota; Clostridia; Lachnospirales; Lachnospiraceae. The record is from RNAcentral.
UUUUUUACGCAUAUGUAAUCACCUCAAUACAUUUUACUGUUCCUGUUGGGUUUCUAACAGGUAUAGAAAAACGUGUUAUAUGGUUCAUCAGUUCCUAAUGUGUGUAAAAAGAACAAAAUUACUGUUAUACGGUAAAUAAAAAAAACCGUUAUCGGCAGUAACCUUUUUGCAUAUCCAAAAAUAUUUCUGAUUUGAUGGCGGUCAAGAUAAAGCCGCCGUUUUUCUUUUUCCUC